UCAUAGGAUAGUUAUAUAACACGAAACUGACCUGAUGAGUUAGAUUACAUAGUGCGCACUAUGUAGUGACUUAAACGUGUAUAAAUAAAAGUUGAAACCUAUUAC
This 105-nucleotide non-coding RNA is filed under the name unclassified sequences. RNAcentral's name for it is "RAGATH-34 RNA". It matches the Rfam family "RAGATH-34 RNA". Rfam says of the family: Environmental. Nearby to self-cleaving ribozyme genes The record is from Rfam by way of RNAcentral.